UAGGGAAUAUUGGACAAUGGGGGCAACCCUGAUCCAGCCAUGCCGCGUGAGUGAAGAAGGCCCUCGGGUUGUAAAGCUCUUUUGUCCGGAAAGAAAAGCAUUCGGUGAAUACCCGGAUGUUCUGACGGUACCGGAAGAAUAAGCACCGGCUAACUUCAUGCCAGCAGCCGCGGUAAUACGAAGGGUGCAAGCGUUACUCGGAAUUACUGGGCGUAAAGCGUGCGUAGGUGGUUGUUUAAGUCUGAUGUGAAAGCCCUGGGCUCAACCUGGGAAUGGCAUUGGAAACUGGGCAGCUAGAGUGCGGUAGAGGGUAGUGGAAUUCCCGGUGUAGCAGUGAAAUGCGUAGAGAUCGGGAGGAACAUCUGUGGCGAAGGCGACUGCCUGGACCAGCACUGACACUGAGGCACGAAAGCGUGGGGAGCAAACA
RNAcentral lists this ribosomal RNA (427 nucleotides) under uncultured bacterium. RNAcentral's name for it is "bacterial SSU rRNA". It matches the Rfam family "Bacterial small subunit ribosomal RNA", at positions 355 to 774 of the family's 1533-position model. The record is from RNAcentral.